Molecule: non-coding RNA, 267 nt
Organism: Cinara cedri
Lineage: Eukaryota; Metazoa; Arthropoda; Insecta; Hemiptera; Aphididae
Source: the annotation of a GenBank genome assembly
UUAAUCUUUUUUUUAAACAAUCAUUGUUGUCAAAGAAACGCACAUUGUUGUUAUCAUUUUUUCAUAAUAUGGCAUAUAAUAUAUAUUGUUGACAAAAUAACACUAUCAACUGAACUGCGCUCGGAAUCGUUUUUCGUCAAGCAAUGGUUUAUUGUUGCUUACAGAUACACAUUAAAUUCCUGUCUGUAUCGUAUAUUCCCAACUUCCUCACACAGUGGCUGCGCCCAUGUGCGAGGCAUAUCGGUCUUUUUUUAGAAUUGUUAUUAC